This 495-nucleotide ribosomal RNA is filed under the name uncultured bacterium. Its description in RNAcentral is "partial 16S ribosomal RNA". It matches the Rfam family "Bacterial small subunit ribosomal RNA", at positions 28 to 507 of the family's 1533-position model. The record is from RNAcentral.
GAUGAACGCUGGCGGCGUGCCUAAUACAUGCAAGUAGAACGCUGAAGGAGGAGCUUGCUCUUCUGGAUGAGUUGCGAACGGGUGAGUAACGCGUAGGUAACCUGCCUGGUAGCGGGGGAUAACUAUUGGAAACGAUAGCUAAUACCGCAUGACAACAGUUAUUGCAUGAUAACUGUUUAAAAGGGGCAACUGCUCCACUACCAGAUGGACCUGCGUUGUAUUAGCUAGUUGGUGAGGUAACGGCUCACCAAGGCGACGAUACAUAGCCGACCUGAGAGGGGGAUCGGCCACACUGGGACUGAGACACGGCCCAGACGCCUACGGGAGGCAGCAGUAGGGAAUCUUCGGCAAUGGACGGAAGUCUGACCGAGCAACGCCGCGUGAGUGAAGAAGGUUUUCGGAUCGUAAAGCUCUGUUGCAAGAGAAGAACGAGUGUGAGAGUGGAAAGUUCACACUGUGACGGUAUCUUACCAGAAAGGGACGGCUAACUACGUG